CAUGCAAGUCGAACGGGAUUUAGUAGACAGAAACCUCGGUGGAAGAUUACUAAUGAGAGUGGCGAACGGGUGAGUAACGCGUGAGCAACCUGCCUAUGACAGUGGGAUAGCCUCGGGAAACCGGGAUUAAUACCGCAUAAAAUCGUAGAAACACAUGUUUCAACGGUCAAAGAUUUAUCGGUCAUAGAUGGGCUCGCGUCUGAUUAGCUAGUUGGUGAGAUAACAGCCCACCAAGGCGACGAUCAGUAGCCGGUCUGAGAGGAUGAACGGCCACAUUGGAACUGAGACACGGUCCAAACUCCUACGGGAGGCAGCAGUGGGGAAUAUUGCACAAUGGGGGAAACCCUGAUGCAGCGACGCCGCGUGAACGAAGAAGGUAUUCGUAUCGUAAAGUUCUGUCCUAUGGGAAGAUAAUGACAGUACCAUAGAAGAAAGCUCCGGCUAAAUACGUGCCAGCAGCCGCGGUAAUACGUAUGGAGCGAGCGUUGUCUGGAAUUAUUGGGCGUAAAGGGUACGCAGGCGGUUUAAUAAGUCGAAUGUUAAAGAUCGGGGCUCAACCCCGUAAAGCAUUGGAAACUGAUAAACUUGAGUAGUGGAGAGGAAAGUGGAAUUCCUAGUGUAGUGGCGAAAUACGUAGAUAUUAGGAGGAAUACCAGUAGCGAAGGCGACUUUCUGGACACAAACUGACGCUGAGGUACGAAAGCGUGGGGGAGCAAACA
RNAcentral lists this ribosomal RNA (719 nucleotides) under uncultured bacterium. RNAcentral's name for it is "bacterial SSU rRNA". It matches the Rfam family "Bacterial small subunit ribosomal RNA", at positions 54 to 774 of the family's 1533-position model. The record is from RNAcentral.